RNAcentral lists this unclassified non-coding RNA (499 nucleotides) under Hevea brasiliensis (rubber tree). Lineage: Eukaryota; Viridiplantae; Streptophyta; Magnoliopsida; Malpighiales; Euphorbiaceae. The record is from RNAcentral.
GUGGCCAGUAUAUAUGAAAUAAUGGGACAAAGGUGCUGUCAUAUCUUGCUCAACCUGAUUACUAAUGGGUGGAUUGAGAUCUGUUGAGAAAAGGAAAUGGUGAAAAUCAUCAAGACUGAGACAACUCCUUACACACUUUGUGUUAUGAUGACGCUUCUGCAAAAUCUUAUCCACAAUCAGCUCUGCCUCCGUGACUGAAGCACCACCAUCACCCUGAACUUCCACCACGAACCGCUGCAGCUGUUCUGCCGUCAUGUAGGUCUUGCCUUCUGUAUACUUCAUGAAUGCUUCCUUUACAUCCGAUGGUGGCCCUGUCUCCAUGAUUCUAAAGUUCCCACUAAAGCACUUUCUCAUCUUGCUCUAGAUGCGCAAUGCUUGUGCAAUCUUUUCAGUCCCUAAGAUCAAGAAAUGUAAAUGGUUUCUAAUUAAUUAGGACUAGUUUUGAUGUCAAGUUUUCUGGGGACCUUUGGUAUGCUUUUCUGAGUUCUUUUGUACACUU